CCUUGUUUGUUUACUCUUCUCGAGCUAAUUCUUCACUAUUAUUAUCUACAUUAUUUUCACUGGCUAACAACUGGUUGGUCUGCAAUUGACGAACCAAUACAAAUUUUUCGUUACGUGCAUAUAUUCGAAAGAAUUCGAAAUUAAAUUAUCAUGUAUUACGGGCAGUUACGAUAGAGUGACACAAAGCAAUCUGUGUUUGAAUGCCUCCACUCGUGGACAAUAUCGAUAUAACCUAAAUGCGAUAAAUCGCGAACGUUUGAUUCGACUCAUGGGAAAUUUACGCGUUUUUGAAUCGUUCCGAGUCGCACGCGAAAUGCAGGUCAGAGAACCGUCUAAUAUUUAUUGUUGAGAUCGUGGGCUUGAUCUUAAUGGCGCGGCGGCACGCGAUUCUUUACCAACUAUGCUCCUUAACUCCAGCUCUCGACCUUCUUCCCUAUUCAACUAGCUCGAGCAGUGAAAUUGACUCUGCAUGCCUGUGAUUUUGGCAGGGAAUGGGAGUCGAGUUCGUAGUGAAUGCACAUUGUGUAUACGUGUUUUAGGUGGUUUGUGUGAGUUUGUUGCGGAGAUUCGAGACAUUUAUUUAACCUCUUUAUCAUAUUCGAGCCUGUGCGAUAUAACCAUAUCUUAAAUGUAAUAAGUUUUAUUUUUUAUUGCAAAGUUCUUGAAAUAUAUAAUGCACACAAUAAGUGUAUAAUAUUUUAUAUAUAUAUAUAUAAAUUAUAUUUAAGAAGUUUGGGAUAGUUUAAAGAUGAAAUAAAUUGCUUUUUAAGUUUAAUCUCUUACUCUCGACGAAAUCAAGUUUCUCUGGAAUUUGGUGGAGUUUAAGAUUUGAUAUCGGUGUCGUAGGAGUUAUGUGACACUUUAAGGUGGAAUAAAUCUAGCGAGGAGUUUAAGGUGCGGCAAAGGAGCGUGGAAUGUUGCAAUAGAAAUUUAUUGCAGUGUUAGUGCAUUGGUAGAUUGAUCAAAUUUACGUGUAGCGUGGGUAACCAAUGCUAAACCUUACGACGAAAAAUUAACGAAGUGGAAUAAAAAUGGCAUUGUGAUUCUUCUCGUCGUGUAUCGGUGUCACAUCAAAUUUAAGAGACAGUUUUACUUGCGGAUGCUGCGUGUUACGUUGGUGAAGUCGACGAAAGCGUAAAAUAGGAGCUCGUCCGAAAUACACUAACGCGGAAGGUUAAAUUUAACGCAAAAGGCCGAGAAAUUAGUCUAGAACUCGAAGUUUCAUUGGUACGACGCACUUGAAACGCAUUCAAAGAGGUCGGCGACCUCGAAAGGGGAUGAACGCAACUGUUUCGUGGGAAUUUCUUAUUGUGGCUUAUUUGGAUGAAGCUGCUUUAAAAUCAGCGCUGGAUUCGUCUGUUUUUUGCCCGGAAAUCAUAAAAUGUUUAGGCCAGGCGACUCCAUGUACAGAAAAUGUUAUGUCCACUUUUUACGUCCGUAGAAUUCAACUCUUUACUACUAUGCACUUCUUCUCCAAAAAAAUAUCGCGUUUCAAUAUUAAAAAAAGUUUCAAUAAUAUACUAUCCAUUAGAAGAAUGAUAACAUGAUAACCUUACAAAUUAUUAGUAUUAACAAAUUCUUAUUGUCGUAUAGAAAUGCCAACUAUUGCUUCGGUAAAACAAACAAAGGAAUUUUACAGAUGCAGGAAUCUUAGCCUCAUGAGAAAUUAGAGAU
Molecule: long non-coding RNA, 1674 nt
Organism: Bombus huntii
Lineage: Eukaryota; Metazoa; Arthropoda; Insecta; Hymenoptera; Apidae
Exons: 3
Source: RefSeq, a predicted model, not a curated record